This is a non-coding RNA of Acanthosepion pharaonis, 113 nucleotides long. Lineage: Eukaryota; Metazoa; Mollusca; Cephalopoda; Sepiida; Sepiidae. The record is from the annotation of a GenBank genome assembly.
UUACGGUCACAUCACAUUGAAACAUUGGUUCCUGUAUGAUCAUCGAAGUUAAGCAAUGUCGAGCCUGGUCAGUACCUAGAUGAGUGACCACUUGGAAAUACCAGGUGCUGUAA